GAUGAACGCUGGCGGCGUGCCUAAUACAUGCGAGUCGAGCGAACAGACGAGGAGCUUGCUCCUCUGACGUUAGCGGCGGACGGGUGAGUAACACGUGGAUAACCUACCUAUAAGACUGGGAUAACUUCGGGAAACCGGAGCUAAUACCGGAUAAUAUAUUGAACCGCAUGGUUCAAUAGUGAAAGACGGUUUUGCUGUCACUUAUAGAUGGAUCCGCGCCGCAUUAGCUAGUUGGUAAGGUAACGGCUUACCAAGGCAACGAUGCGUAGCCGACCUGAGAGGGUGAUCGGCCACACUGGAACGGAGACACGGUCCAGACUCCUACGGGAGGCAGCAGUAGGGAAUCUUCCGCAAUGGGCGAAAGCUUGACGGAGCAACGCCGCGUGAGUGAUGAAGGUCUUCGGAUCGUAAAACUCUGUUAUUAGGGAAGAACAAAUGUGUAAGUAACUAUGCACGUCUUGACGGUACCUAAUCAGAAAGCCACGGCUAACUACGUG
Molecule: ribosomal RNA, 497 nt
Filed under: uncultured bacterium
Lineage: Bacteria
Description: partial 16S ribosomal RNA
Rfam family: Bacterial small subunit ribosomal RNA
Source: RNAcentral